AUUUAAAUAGCUUAUAAAGAGCAUAGCAUUGAAGAUGCUAAGGAAAUAAAUUUUAUUUUUAAAUA
RNAcentral lists this transfer RNA (65 nucleotides) under Aclees cribratus. RNAcentral describes it as "tRNA-Phe". The record is from RNAcentral. Lineage: Eukaryota; Metazoa; Arthropoda; Insecta; Coleoptera; Curculionidae.